AGACGUAGGGAGCCGCUUUUCUUCUGGUUUUGACUAACCUAGAGACAAAAAUAAAAGAGGUGAUUUUCUCUAACUUUUAUGGGGAAUCAGCGGAUUUUGACAAGAUCAAACCCACCCCCCUGAUCGAUCAUCCUCUUCUAUAAAGAAGAAGUAGCCAUUUUCGAUGGUUGCUGCUGAACACCAAACGACCAGACCCCCAUGAGCUUCUUCUUCAUGAAGCUCUAAGACAAAACCUAGAUCUAGAAGACCUAUUCACCCCUUCCAGCCAUCUCUCUCUUUUUCUAUCUCACCCCAUCGCCGGCGACGGUUGCUGCUUUCCCGUCCCCGCCUUCUUCCCCCUCUACUAUCACUGUUCCGCCGGAGUCGCACCCCCGGAGUCGCACCCUCGAUGAUUAACGAACAAGAUGCUGCAAUUUUCUUAGUAUAGCAGCAUGUUUAUCAGUAAUGUUGCUAAGGUUUAAAGCUCCAAAACCCAGCAAAAGCAGUCAAAAAAACGUGCCCUCCUCAACCCGAGUCCCAACCUUUUUCCCGUUUCGCGAGAGUUUUCAAGAGGUCCUGCUUGAGGUCUUUUCGUUGAGUUCUAGCGUAUGUGUUGGUGAUUACAAAUAAGUUCUUGAAACUGUUGAGAUUUCGGGUAAACUCAGAGGCCGCCGGUGAAGUUCCGUCAACCGUUUCGACUGUGGUCUAGUCUUCCUUCUAAAGUUUGGUUGCUAAUUUUGGAUUUCCAUCUCGUCUGUUGGCUGUUUCGUGUAAGAUUUAAUUGGAAAUUCUUAUUAAUACAUCAGAGAGGAUCUUUGUUGCUCGAGGUGUGGAUUUACUUACUGGAGUUUGAGCAUGAUAGACGCCCUACGACCAUCCAGUCAGGAUCGAUCAUUCAGGAGUUUGGUUAAGGAGAUUUUUUUUAGUUAUUAUGUUUUGAGUCUAUUGUUUUUUUUAUGUCAUCUUUUACCUUUUAAUUUUGUACAGUAAUAUCGAGUCUUUUAUUAUUGUA
This is a long non-coding RNA of Nicotiana tabacum (common tobacco), 991 nucleotides long. RefSeq lists it as uncharacterized. The record is from RefSeq and is a predicted model, not a curated record. NCBI's taxonomy places the organism in Eukaryota, Viridiplantae, Streptophyta, Magnoliopsida, Solanales, Solanaceae.